RNAcentral lists this ribosomal RNA (119 nucleotides) under Pteropus alecto (black flying fox). The record is from RNAcentral. Lineage: Eukaryota; Metazoa; Chordata; Mammalia; Chiroptera; Pteropodidae.
GUCUACGGCCGUGCCACCUUGAACAAGCCCAAUCCCAUCUAAUCUCGGAAGCUAAGUAGGGUCGAGCCUGGUUAGUACUUGGAUGGGAGACCACCUAGGAAGACCAGGUGCUGUAAGCA